This 253-nucleotide ribosomal RNA is filed under the name uncultured bacterium. RNAcentral describes it as "partial 16S ribosomal RNA". It matches the Rfam family "Bacterial small subunit ribosomal RNA", at positions 524 to 776 of the family's 1533-position model. The record is from RNAcentral.
UACAGAGGGUGCAAGCGUUAAUCGGAAUUACUGGGCGUAAAGCGCGCGUAGGCGGCCUUAUAAGUCAGAUGUGAAAUCCCCGGGCUCAACCUGGGAACUGCACCUGAUACUGUUGGGCUAGAGUUUGGGAGAGGGAAGUAGAAUUUCAGGUGUAGCGGUGAAAUGCAUAGAGAUCUGAAGGAAUACCAGUGGCGAAGGCGGCUUCCUGGCCUAAAACUGACGCUGAGGUGCGAAAGCGUGGGUAGCAAACGGG